RNAcentral lists this ribosomal RNA (468 nucleotides) under uncultured bacterium. RNAcentral's name for it is "partial 16S ribosomal RNA". It matches the Rfam family "Bacterial small subunit ribosomal RNA", at positions 28 to 507 of the family's 1533-position model. The record is from RNAcentral.
GACGAACGCUGGCGGCGUGCUUAACACAUGCAAGUCGAACGGAAAGGCCCUGCUUUUGUGGGGUGCUCGAGUGGCGAACGGGUGAGUAACACGUGAGUAACCUGCCCUUGACUUUGGGAUAACUUCAGGAAACUGGGGCUAAUACCGGAUAGGAGCUCCUGCUGCAUGGUGGGGGUUGGAAAGUUUCGGCGGUUGGGGAUGGACUCGCGGCUUAUCAGCUUGUUGGUGGGGUAGUGGCUUACCAAGGCUUUGACGGGUAGCCGGCCUGAGAGGGUGACCGGCCACAUUGGGACUGAGAUACGGCCCAGACUCCUACGGGAGGCGGCAGUGGGGAAUAUUGCACAAUGGGCGGAAGCCUGAUGCAGCAACGCCGCGUGCGGGAUGACGGCCUUCGGGUUGUAAACCGCUUUCGCCUGUGACGAAGCGUGAGUGACGGUAAUGUGUAAAGAAGCACCGGCUAACUACGUG